CUUGCCUGCACCUGCCGGCGACCGGCGCACGGGUGAGUAACACGUAUGGAACCUGCCCGCCACAGGGGGAUAACCUGGGGGAAACCCGGCCUAAUACCCCAUGCCGCCCGGACCGGGCAUCCGGACCGGGCGAAAGGAGGAAUCCGGUGGCGGCUGGGCAUGCGGCGCAUUAGCUUGACGGCGGGGUAACGGCCCACCGUGGCGACGAUGCGUAGGGGUUCUGAGAGGAAGGUCCCCCACACUGGUACUGAGACACGGACCAGACCCCUACGGGAGGCAGCAG
This 283-nucleotide ribosomal RNA is filed under the name uncultured bacterium. RNAcentral describes it as "partial 16S ribosomal RNA". It matches the Rfam family "Bacterial small subunit ribosomal RNA", at positions 69 to 354 of the family's 1533-position model. The record is from RNAcentral.